AAGCCCGGAGGCGAAGGAGAUGAGCUCGGGCUCUGAUCAGAGAGACAGAGCCUUUAAAAAUCCCCCACAGCCAGCUCAUAUACAGAGAUUAGUCAGCUUAUAGGGUGAAACCCCUUUCAGUACAAGUGAGUAAACGCUGGAGUCAGACAGGAAGCUUGUGUGGCACAAACGCGUUUCUCAAAGUUUCUGUCUGACAGCGAGGGCGGAUAUUAACCAGCCUAAUGCUGGUUCCAUGCAGGUCGGCUAGCACGGUGUGUUUGCAUUAAGCAGUCCCUUUGCAGCCAAAUAGUCUAGUUAAGUGUUAAACAUUUCGCUGCAAGAUUUUAGCUUUAGUAGCUGCUCAGUUAGCGCCGCUGGCUUUCGGACAGAUUGUGGUUCCACUGAGGAGCCGUCGAGGGAGCAACAGCAGCCGGAUAGCGCCACUGGUGACCUGGGGAAAGCCAGCGGUUCCUCCGGCUAUGAGGGAACACCGGCCCCUGGCGACUGGAGCGGCCAUUUAGUGUUGGAGACAACAGGGCCCUGUACUACGAAGCGGGUUUUCUGGCUUACCAGGGUAACUUCGAGAGUAACUUGAUCACGUGCAGCGUAACUUCCCGAUUAACCCAUACUACGAAAGUUGGCUAUGUUCAAACCGAGCAGGGUGCCAGGGAACAACAGGAGGCCCCCAGUCCAUCCCACCCGAGCAGGAAGAGGACCCCCAGCCGAGCGGAUCCAGCGUCACUGUCACCUGCCCCCCUUCUCCACCGCCUGCCCCUGUCGCCGGGUCCACAGGCCGGGUGCUGACGCGCGCGGUCCUUGAGUCGCAGGGGGAAAUUUUAAAGGGGAUAGAGGCGAUUAACGACAACCUCGAGGGAAUCCGCGAGGAAUUGAAGGAACUGAAUAACACAUUAAAAGAAUAUCUUAAAAAAUGAAUGGUGUCCCGUCUGUCCUUACCUUUUCACAUUGUGGCUAUUAAGCGCUGCCGGGUUUGUGUGCCAUGUCGCUGUGGCACCUCGUUGUGAGGCCCAGGGUCUGGGUCCUCCGCCAGGUCUCGCUCCAUUAUUGGCACGCCGUGCUGCUGUGCCACAUUGUGUAACACGCCACACACCGCGGUUGUGUCUGAUUUGUACGCACUUGGAAAUCGUUUCAUAUAUUGAUCUUGGUAAUUAUGUGAGAAGGCUACCCCACGCAACAUCAACUAAUAAUAUUUCAGUCUGACACCUCGCGGCAAAUGCACGAGGAAGAUCUAUUAAGCUAGCUGCAAUGCAUGGUCCUGCAUGUGCAUUCUUUAAUUUAAUUAAUUAACCAAUAGGUAGUCAAUGGGAAUAAUAUCGAAUUGAUAUUGCUGGGGUUUCUCAUUUCCCGUAAUUACAAUAUGGAAGGGGUGGUUGAUGGAUCUGUUGGCAUUUACCCAACAGUCUUACAUUAUGUGUCUCGACAAUGUCGUAUGACUGACAUACAUUUCAAUUCACGCAUCCUGAUGUUCCGAUGCAUUUUUGGAUGCCUCUUAUCGCCAUGUCAUGACUCUUGACCGAGUAGGCCGAAAUGUAGUUGCGUUGCUCUGCCUCUAAGUGUCGCCAAGUACCAAGAUGCACCAGAAAUGUGCGUACGCCAGCCAUGAGGUUUGCGUAGAGUACCGCACUUUUCCACGCCAAGUCAAUCUUUGUACAUACGAAUGUUUGCGGAGAAAGUGACGUACGUAGCUUUUUUGUGCGUACGCAAGCUUUGUACAUGAGGCCCCAGGCCUGCAGUGUUCUGUUUGUUUUCCUGAAACUGCUGACUUUUGUGUUUUCCAUCGUCUCUGUGGUGCACUUUAAGUUAUUGUGAGUAAAUGUGACCACAAGUGUAACUAAUUUUCAUUAACAGUGAGAGCUGUAGAGCAGCUGUAUUGGUUUUGAGUGUAACAGAGGUGUAGAGCUCGAGAACACCUUUAGUCUUAAACUGUGUGUGUAAUAUAUAUAUGUAUGUAUAGAAAUAAAAAUUGUUGUUGGUUUUGAAAGAAAAGUAGGGACAAAUUUUCCGUUGCUUUAUUGACAAACUUUCUUGUUAAUAAAAUACUUUAUCAUGA
Molecule: long non-coding RNA, 2047 nt
Organism: Neoarius graeffei (lesser salmon catfish)
Lineage: Eukaryota; Metazoa; Chordata; Actinopteri; Siluriformes; Ariidae
Exons: 2
Source: RefSeq, a predicted model, not a curated record